Molecule: non-coding RNA, 376 nt
Organism: Paramuricea clavata
Lineage: Eukaryota; Metazoa; Cnidaria; Anthozoa; Malacalcyonacea; Plexauridae
Source: the annotation of a GenBank genome assembly
CAAUGGCCAAUCAGAUUCCUCCCUGAAACGGAUUAUCCCAGAGCCUCGCGUUCCUUCCCGAGGAUCGCAGGCUCGGGGAACGAGAUUGUAAUGAGGUGUGAGUGCUGACUCUUCCACAGUCCCUCAUUCGUACGCGCGGUCGCGUAAUUUGAGCAGCGCCGAUUUGAGGGACUGUGAAAUCGUGACUCGAAAACUUGCAAAAACACUCGAAAACUUGCAAAUGUGCUCGAAAACCUAAAAUAUCGUCGAAUAAGGAAGAAAUCGUGGAUGUUUUGGACGGUAGCGGUCCUUCGCUGUACAUGGGAAGUGUUUUGUCUGAAUCGUGCGAGGAAUUGGAGAUAUUAAUGGAAUAUUUAUCUCUUGAAGACGAUGAUGG